Molecule: ribosomal RNA, 216 nt
Filed under: Glomeromycotina sp.
Lineage: Eukaryota; Fungi; Glomeromycota
Description: partial small subunit ribosomal RNA
Rfam family: Eukaryotic small subunit ribosomal RNA (bases 40-216)
Source: RNAcentral
GGGUCAGUAGGUCGGUCGUGCCACCGGUACGUACUGGUCUCACUGAUUCCUCCUUCCUGAAGAACCGUAAUGCCAUUAAUUUGGUGUUGCGGGGAAACAGGACUGUUACUUUGAAAAAAUUAGAGUGUUUAAAGCAAGCUAACGCUUGAAUACAUUAGCAUGGAAUAAUGAAAUAGGACGAUCGACCCUAUUUUGUUGGUUUCUAGGAUUGACGUA